CUUUUGUCGGGUUCAUCCAUGGAUUCUCCUCCGCCCCUUCGCCUUCUUCCAACAAAUCUUCCCACCACAUAAUCUCCUUCCCUUCAUUCACUGGGUUUUGGUCUGGGCGCCGAGGAGAUUGCGUCGGCUGUAGUCGGAGAAGGAUCGAGGUCGAGGCUUUAUAACUUCGAUUUUCCGAACAGUGAAUGGUACGUACAGAACAAGUGGGUUGACACUUUUUGGUGGAAAAAAGGGACAACAGUUAUUGAGAACGUAGAAAACGGGGACCAAAAGCUCGAAAGAAGCCAAGGCGAGGGCCGUCGUGAUUUAUUGACAGCAUCUUUUGGGGAAAGUGAAGAAUUGUAAAUGGACCCUAUGAAAUUUAAUAACCCUUUUCGAUCAUUACAAGCCUUAAAACUGUGUAAUUGAUUAGGGGAAUCUAUGGCGCAAUUACC
Long non-coding RNA from Tarenaya hassleriana, 434 nucleotides. RefSeq lists it as uncharacterized. Lineage: Eukaryota; Viridiplantae; Streptophyta; Magnoliopsida; Brassicales; Cleomaceae. The transcript has 3 exons. The record is from RefSeq and is a predicted model, not a curated record.